GAUGAAGAACGCAGCGAAAUGCGAUAAGUAAUGUGAAUUGCAGAAUUCAGUGAAUCAUCGAAUCUUUGAACGCACAUUGCGCCCGCCAGUAUUCUGGCGGGCAUGCCUGUUCGAGCGUCAUUACAACCCUCAGGCCCCCGGGCCUGGCGUUGGGGAUCGGCGGAGCCCCCCGUGGGCACACGCCGUCCCCCAAAUGCAGUGGCGGUCCCGCCGCAGCUUCCAUCGCGUAGUAGCUAACACCUCGCGACUGGAGAGCGGCGCGGCCAUGCCGUAAAACACCCAACUCUUCUGAAGUUGACCUCGAAUCAGGUAGGAAUACCCGCUGAACUUAAGCAUAUCAAUAAGCGGAGGA
RNAcentral lists this unclassified non-coding RNA (352 nucleotides) under soil metagenome. RNAcentral's name for it is "partial contains 5.8S ribosomal RNA, internal transcribed spacer 2, and large subunit ribosomal RNA". The stretch from base 1 to 120 matches the Rfam family "5.8S ribosomal RNA", at positions 35 to 154 of the family's 154-position model. The record is from RNAcentral.